RNAcentral lists this long non-coding RNA (566 nucleotides) under Prunus dulcis (almond). Its description in RNAcentral is "sRNA ncRNA". Lineage: Eukaryota; Viridiplantae; Streptophyta; Magnoliopsida; Rosales; Rosaceae. The record is from RNAcentral.
UGGAAGUUGACACUUCUGUUGAUUAUGCUCCUUUUCAAGGGAGGGCCGUGGUUGUAGACAAGACUAUCUAUUCCAUACAAGGGAAUGAGUUUAUAGCAUUCUCCUUUAGGAUGGACAAAGGUGACCAUGGUAAUAUUGGAUAUUCCUUGAGCCAAUUGUUUAUAUUGCAAGACCUAGAGAUUGUGUGUCUACCAUUGCCAUUUAAAAUGAAGAGUGAGUAUUUGGUUCAUUUGGGGAACCAUGACUUUUUCCAUGUCAAGACUGGUCAUUGCUUUGACACGGCUCAAUAUCUUUGUAUCACUACAUUUCAAAUUGUUGUUGGAGAAGGAGAAAGAGAUAUGAUCAAGACUAUAAAUUCAACUAUUCAUUCUGUGGAUGUAGAGUGCAUUGAAUAUUUUGAUCUUGUUUUCUGCUUCAUGCCGUAAGUUUCCUACAUGUUUCUUAUUGUGUUUUCAUCAAUAACAUUAUUAAUUUGUUCUGUUACAUUUUGUAUGUAACAAGGUUUCUCAUUAUUAUGAUUCAGUGAUUGUGGGGAUUAUGAACCUAUAGAAGAUAAGAGCGUGUGA